Molecule: ribosomal RNA, 519 nt
Filed under: uncultured bacterium
Lineage: Bacteria
Description: bacterial SSU rRNA
Rfam family: Bacterial small subunit ribosomal RNA
Source: RNAcentral
GCUGGCGGCGUGCUUAACACAUGCAAGUCGAACGAAGAGCGAUGGAAGCUUGCUUCUAUCAAUCUUAGUGGCGAACGGGUGAGUAACGCGUAAUCAACCUGCCCUUCAGAGGGGGACAACAGUUGGAAACGACUGCUAAUACCGCAUACGAUCUAACCUCGGCAUCGAGGAAAGAUGAAAGGUGGCCUCUAUUUAUAAGCUAUCACUGAAGGAGGGGAUUGCGUCUGAUUAGCUAGUUGGAGGGGUAACGGCCCACCAAGGCGAUGAUCAGUAGCCGGUCUGAGAGGAUGAACGGCCACAUUGGGACUGAGACACGGCCCAGACUCCUACGGGAGGCAGCAGUGGGGAAUCUUCCGCAAUGGACGAAAGUCUGACGGAGCAACGCCGCGUGAGUGAUGACGGCCUUCGGUUGUAAAGCUCUGUUAAUCGGGACGAAAGGCCUUCUUGCGAACAGUUAGAAGGAUUGACGGUACCGGAAUAGAAAGCCACGGCUAACUACGUGCCAGCAGCCGCGGUAAU